GGCGGACGGGUGAGUAACACGUAAGAAUUUGCCUUUAGGAGGGGGACAACAACUGGAAACGGUUGCUAAUACCCCAUAUGCUUUCGAGUGAAACGGUUUUUCCGCCUAAAGAGAAGCUUGCGGCUGAUUAGCUUGUUGGUGAGGUAAUGGCUCACCAAGGCGACGAUCAGUAUCUGGUUUGAGAGGACGAUCAGACACACUGGAACUGAGACACGGUCCAGACUCCUACGGGAGGCAGCAGUGGGGAAUUUUCCGCAAUGGGCGAAAGCCUGACGGAGCAAUACCGCGUGAGGGAUGACGGCCUAUGGGUUGUAAACCUCUUUUCUCAGGGAGGAAUCAAUGACGUGUACCUGAGGAAUAAGCAUCGGCUAACUCCGUGCCAGCAGCCGCGGUAAGACGGAGGAUGCAAGUGUUAUCCGGAAUCACUGGGCGUAAAGCGUCUGUAGGUGGUCAAAUAAGUCAACUGUUAAAUCUUGAGGCUUAACCUCAAAAUCGCAGUCGAAACUAUUAGACUAGAGUAUAGUA
This 525-nucleotide ribosomal RNA is filed under the name uncultured cyanobacterium. RNAcentral describes it as "bacterial SSU rRNA". It matches the Rfam family "Bacterial small subunit ribosomal RNA", at positions 97 to 653 of the family's 1533-position model. The record is from RNAcentral. Lineage: Bacteria; Bacillati; Cyanobacteriota.